This 406-nucleotide ribosomal RNA is filed under the name uncultured bacterium. RNAcentral describes it as "partial 16S ribosomal RNA". It matches the Rfam family "Bacterial small subunit ribosomal RNA", at positions 30 to 526 of the family's 1533-position model. The record is from RNAcentral.
AUUGAACGCUGGCGGCAGGCUUAACACAUGCAAGUCGAGCGAGCGGCGGACGGGUGAGUAAUGUCUGGGAAACUGCCUGUUGGAGGGGGAUAACCACUGGAAACGGUAGCUAAUACCGCCUACCCUCAGCUGAGCCCAGAUGGGAUUAGCUAGUAGGUGGGGGAAUGGCUCACCUAGGCGCCGAUCGCUCGCUGGUCUGCUAGGAUGACCGGACACACUGGAACUGGAACACGGUCCAGACUCCUACGGGAGGCAGCGGUGGGGAAGAUUGCACAAUGGGGGCAAGCCUGAUGCAGCCAUGCCGCGUGUGUGAGAAAGGCCUUCGGGUUGUAAAGCACUUUCAGCGAGGAGGCGUUACUCGCAGAAGAAGCACCGGCUAACUCCGUGCCAGCAGCCGCGGUAAUUC